Molecule: ribosomal RNA, 440 nt
Filed under: uncultured bacterium
Lineage: Bacteria
Description: bacterial SSU rRNA
Rfam family: Bacterial small subunit ribosomal RNA
Source: RNAcentral
CCUACGGGAGGCAGCAGUGGGGAAUUUUGGACAAUGGGGGCAACCCUGAUCCAGCAAUGCCGCGUGAGUGAAGAAGGCCUUCGGGUUGUAAAGCUCUUUUGUCCGGAAAGAAAUCCUAUUCGCUAAUACCGAGUGGGGAUGACGGUACCGGAAGAAUAAGCACCGGCUAACUACGUGCCAGCAGCCGCGGUAAUACGUAGGGUGCGAGCGUUAAUCGGAAUUACUGGGCGUAAAGCGUGCGCAGGCGGUUGUGCAAGACAGAUGUGAAAUCCCCGGGCUUAACCUGGGAAUUGCAUUUGUGACUGCACGGCUAGAGUGUGUCAGAGGGGGGUAGAAUUCCACGUGUAGCAGUGAAAUGCGUAGAGAUGUGGAGGAAUACCGAUGGCGAAGGCAGCCCCCUGGGAUAACACUGACGCUCAUGCACGAAAGCGUGGGGAGCA